GAUGAACGCUGGCGGUGUGCCUAAUACAUGCAAGUCGAGCGAACAGACGAGGAGCUUACUCCUCUGACGUUAGCGGCGGACGGGUGAGUAACACGUGGAUAACCUACCUAUAAGACUGGGAUAACUUCGGGAAACCGGAGCUAAUACCGGAUAACAUGUUGAACCGCAUGGUUCAACAGUGAAAGACGGUCUUGCUGUCGCUUAUAGAUGGAUCCGCGUCGCAUUAGCUAGUUGGUAAGGUAACGGCUUACCAAGGCAACGAUGCGUAGCCGACCUGAGAGGGUGAUCGGCCACACUGGAACUGAGACACGGUCCAGACUCCUACGGGAGGCAGCAGUAGGGAAUCUUCCGCAAUGGGCGAAAGCCUGACGGAGCAACGCCGCGUGAGUGAAGAAGGUCUUCGGAUCGUAAAACUCUGUUAUUAGGGAAGAACAAAUGUGUAAGUAACUAUGCACGUCUUGACGGUACCUAAUCAGAAAGCCACGGCUAACUACGUG
RNAcentral lists this ribosomal RNA (497 nucleotides) under uncultured bacterium. RNAcentral describes it as "partial 16S ribosomal RNA". It matches the Rfam family "Bacterial small subunit ribosomal RNA", at positions 28 to 507 of the family's 1533-position model. The record is from RNAcentral.